RNAcentral lists this ribosomal RNA (217 nucleotides) under uncultured Glomus. Its description in RNAcentral is "partial small subunit ribosomal RNA". The stretch from base 48 to 217 matches the Rfam family "Eukaryotic small subunit ribosomal RNA", at positions 693 to 864 of the family's 1831-position model. Lineage: Eukaryota; Fungi; Glomeromycota; Glomeromycetes; Glomerales; Glomeraceae. The record is from RNAcentral.
GGAUCAAUGCGUCGGUCGUGCUUUUUGGUACGUACUGGCGUCAUUGGUUUCUCCUUUCUGACGAACCGUGAUGUCAUUAAUUUGGUGUUGCGGGUAGUUAGGACUGUUACUUUGAAAAAAUUAGAGUGUUUAAAGCAGGCAUUAGCUUGAAUACAUUAGCAUGGAAUAAUGAAAUAGGACGUUCGAUCCUAUUUUGUUGGUUUCUAGGAUCAACGUA